AUCACAAUAAAACUCCAAGGCUGGCAGUUGAUUGAAGCUGAUGGUUUAAAACAGGAGUGUAAAGAAAUGUCUUUUUAUGAUCUGUUGGUCAUUUCAGAUAUUUGGAAAUGGAAUGAGCAAUUCAUGAGAAAGAAACAUCU
Jaculus jaculus (lesser Egyptian jerboa) is the source of this 140-nucleotide small nucleolar RNA. The record is from Ensembl. NCBI's taxonomy places the organism in Eukaryota, Metazoa, Chordata, Mammalia, Rodentia, Dipodidae.